This is a long non-coding RNA of Drosophila montana, 1203 nucleotides long. RefSeq lists it as uncharacterized. NCBI's taxonomy places the organism in Eukaryota, Metazoa, Arthropoda, Insecta, Diptera, Drosophilidae. The transcript is spliced from 2 exons. The record is from RefSeq and is a predicted model, not a curated record.
UGUGUGCUUAAGCACAAAAAGACCCUGAUAUUUGUCACGAUAAUUUCAUGUUUUUGAAUAGGCACACAGAAGUUGACACAAGCACUCGACAAAAAACAACCACCAAGGGCCUCCAGACGUAGUUGACGAUGCAUGCGUGGAAUUUGUAUUGAAUUACAUUCAAGCGAAUAUACAUAUAAGGAAGUCGGUCUUGCUUACCUUUCUGAGUGCCAAGGCCCAUUUUUCGUCCCAUUGAAACGAACAAAGUCAACAAAUUUGGAAUAUGAAAAAUUGUUUUACGUUCACGAUUCUGAAUGUGAACUAUAGAAAGACGAAUCAAUACCAGCAGCUAGAUGCUGUGGACCUGUUCGAAAUCAAUUAGAAAAGUAAACAAAAAAUACAUCAAUCAACCGUUUCCCAUCAUCCUAGGUAUUAGUGGCCCGGGCGGUAGGUUGAGGAUUCAAAAUGCAAUCAAACCUAACGAAUAAACAGGUGCCGAGAAUCUUGCCGAAGGUUUAAACAUGAGUUGAGAUUUUUAUGCGUGCUGAAAUUUCAGUAGAAAAAAGAAUUUGAGACAAACCAGCUUGUUUAUAAAACUAUAGCCAAUUUUCUGCUAGCCUAUUCGAAUGGACCAGUUUAAAGCUGACAUUUUCAUUCACUUUGCGGUUUUUUGUGCGAGAAAGUUUUAAUUAUUUAUUCUUCCUUAGUACAUAUCAGUUGAGAAUAAAUAUAGCAGUUAGUCUUCACAAAUCGUUUAUAAUAUUAAAUAUAUGCAAAUAAUACAAACAGCACUACGGCAGAAACCCUGAAUCAAUGAAGCGUGACCUCAACGAUGAAAGGAAUAGGAUUACAGCAUUGCUAAAAUGAGAUACGUUUACGAUUUUUAAGAUCACAACAAGACAAUCUGUGAAACUCGUAUUUUAUUAUCCCCAGCAGGUGGCUGGCUCUAAGCCAACAGAUAAUGAGACAUUUGUUUCAAGAUUUCAGUGGCUUCUAAGUUAUGCAGGCCUGUUAGAAAUAGGAACACGAAAACAAACAAAAAACUCACAUUUUUUAGUUUUCCACAAUGAGGAAAGAGCUCAAGAAAAGAUGUUUGUCUGCAUCUGCUGGGACAAAAAUAGGUUAUGGCAGGUAGCAAACUAUCUAGAAAAAUCUAAGUCGGCCACCCACUUUUAUUACUUACUGUGCUCCUGUUAACAAUAAAUAAGCUAAACAAACAACCAA